GACGAACGCUGGCGGCGUGCUUAACACAUGCAAGUCGAACGAAGUGGCGAACGGGUGAGUAACGCGUAAUCAACCUGCCCUUCAGAGGGGGACAACAGUUGGAAACGACUGCUAAUCCCGCAUACUGAAGGAGGGGAUUGCGGUUGAUUAGCUAGUUGGAGGGGUAACGGCCCACCAAGGCGAGGAUCAGUAGCCGGUCUGAGAGGAUGAACGGCCACAUUGGUACUGAGACACGGCCCAGACUCCUACGGGAGGCAGCAGUGGGGAAUCGUCCGCAAUGGACGAAAGUCUGACGGAGCAACGCCGCGUGAGUGAUGACGGCCUUCGGGUUGUAAAGCUCUGUUAAUCGGGACGCGGUACCGGAAUAGAAAGCCACGGCUAACUACGUGCCAGCCGCCGCGGUAAUUC
RNAcentral lists this ribosomal RNA (408 nucleotides) under uncultured bacterium. Its description in RNAcentral is "partial 16S ribosomal RNA". It matches the Rfam family "Bacterial small subunit ribosomal RNA", at positions 28 to 526 of the family's 1533-position model. The record is from RNAcentral.